Rhypophila decipiens is the source of this 100-nucleotide non-coding RNA. Lineage: Eukaryota; Fungi; Ascomycota; Sordariomycetes; Sordariales; Naviculisporaceae. The record is from the annotation of a GenBank genome assembly.
GACGAAAUGGCCGAGGGGUUAAGGCGGUUGACUUAAGUACCUGCUUACUUGAUUUUCAACUUCUCGAAAGAGAGCGUGGGUUCGAACCCCACUUUCGUCA